AUGGCCAGCAAUGUUACCAACAGAACAGAUCCUCGCUCCAUGAACUCCCAUGUGUUCACUGGAAAUCUCAACACUCUUGUGGUCAAGAAGUGUGAUGUGGAGGCAAUCUUUUCGAUGUGCAGCAAAAUUGUGGGUUGCUCAGUUCAUAAGGGCUUUGCCUUUGUUCAACAGGUGAAUGAGAGAAAUGCCCCGGCUGCUGUAGAAGAGAGAAGGGCAGAAUAAUUGCUGGCCAGGUUUUAGAUAUUAACCUGGCUGCAGAGCCAAAAGUGAACGGAGGAAAAGCAGGUGUGAAAUGAUCUGCAGCGAUGUAUGGGUCAGUAACAGAACACCCUUCUCCAUCGCCUCUAUUCAGCUCCUCUCUUGACUUGGACUAUGACUUUCAACGGGAUUAUUGUGAAAGGAUGUACAGUUGCCCAGCACAUUUUCCUCCUCCUCCUCCUAUUGCUUAGGCUGUAGUGCCCUCGAAACGUCAGCAUGUUUCAGAAAACACCUCAUGAAGGGGCAAAAGUGGCUUCAAUUCUAAGAGUGGACAGCAGGGAUCUUCCAAGUCUGGAAAGUUGAAAGGAGAUGACCUUUAGGCCAUUAAGAAGGAACUGACCCAGAUAAAACAAAAGGUGGAUUCACCCCUGGAAAACCUGGAAAAAUUUAAAAGGAACAGAGCAAACAAGCAGUAGAGAUGAAGAACGGUAAGUGAGAAGAGGAACAGAGCAGGAGCUCAGUGAAGAAAAAUGAGAUUAAUGUGAAGUCUGAGGGGGGCGCAGAUGACUCUGCUGAGGAGGGGGAUCUACUGGAUGAUGAUGAUAAUGAAGGUGGGGGAUGGCCAGCUGGAGUUGACCAAGGAUGAAAAAGAGGCUGAGGAAGGAGAGGAUGACAGAGACAGCGCCAAUGGCAAAAAUGACUCUUAA
RNAcentral lists this long non-coding RNA (905 nucleotides) under Homo sapiens (human). RNAcentral's name for it is "non-protein coding lnc-ZNF736-6:1". The record is from RNAcentral. Lineage: Eukaryota; Metazoa; Chordata; Mammalia; Primates; Hominidae.